Molecule: ribosomal RNA, 558 nt
Filed under: Triticum aestivum (bread wheat)
Lineage: Eukaryota; Viridiplantae; Streptophyta; Magnoliopsida; Poales; Poaceae
Description: partial small subunit ribosomal RNA
Source: RNAcentral
AUGAUCUUUUCAUUGAUCUAUCAUUCCAAAUUUCAGGUAAUGGACCUGCUUGGUCCUAGCCCCUCUGCCCCUGGGAUGUUUGGCAUUCACUCGGACAGGAUGACAGGAUGUCAUUUCAAAUGGUUGCUUGUAUUGCCGUUAGGCCAUAUUAAUUAUUGCGAAGAUUCGCUCCAAAGCUUUGUGCAUGGUGAUGUAAAACCUGAAACCUUUUGCUUGGUCAGCCUGGAUCCGCUCAAGAAAAGAAGUUUUUCUCAUGAAUUUGGUUACUUUAUUAUUGAUGGCUUAUUACUGCAGGGAGGUAACAUAAGUUUUCUUGUCUGUAAGAGGAAAAUGGAGACUUCUCCAGAUAUGUUAUGUAGAUUCUGUCCAGCUCCAUUCAAGCAUUUUCUUGAGACUGUCACUUGUAUGAAAUCUGGCAAAGAACCAAAGUACAAAAAACGUGUUUCUCUCUUUGAUGAUUUAAUCGAAAGGACCUGCUUCGAGACCCAUCAGGAUCUAUGGAGCUCUAGAGGACUGCACUGCUUUAUCCACAACAUGUAUCUGUGCUUGUCAAUUUAA